This 253-nucleotide ribosomal RNA is filed under the name uncultured bacterium. Its description in RNAcentral is "partial 16S ribosomal RNA". It matches the Rfam family "Bacterial small subunit ribosomal RNA", at positions 524 to 776 of the family's 1533-position model. The record is from RNAcentral.
UACGUAGGGUGCAAGCGUUGUCCGGACUUAUUGGGCGUAAAGAGCUCGUAGGCGGUCUGUCACGUCGGCUGUGAAAUCCCGAGGCUCAACCUCGGGUCUGCAGUCGAUACGGGCAAACUAGAGUAUUGCAGGGGAGACUGGAAUUCCUGGUGUAGCGGUGAAAUGCGCAGAUAUCAGGAGGAACACCGGUGGCGAAGGCGGGUCUCUGGGCAAUAACUGACGCUGAGGAGCGAAAGCGUGGGGAGCGAACAGG